CAUAACGUUCUUUGAAAAAACGUUAAUUCUAAUGAGUCUCUUGUAGAUUUUAUACCUAGGAGUGUGACAUAUAACCAAUAUCGCUAGGGCUACAUCUUUGAGACUGCUCACUUGGUGCAAUUGCAAAAAUCAUUAACGAAUUUGGGUUCCCUCUAACUUGGGGACUUCUUUUGCAUAGAUCAGAGCAUGCUCACAUAAAAUCUCUCUUGUUAAUGCAAAAUACCUCCAAAAUAAUUCCAUAAGGAGCACCUAUGUUUUUCAAAAGUAGAUGGGUUCUUUCAAUUCCAUAUAAGGUAAGUGCAAGUAUAUUUUCAUCAUUCUAUUGAGAAAAUAUUUCAACUAUGAGUAAACUUGGAAUUACUUGUACCUUGAACAAUCACUUUUUCCAUGAAGGAUCUUAUGUCAACCCUAUGAUGAUAUAAGAACCAAAAUGAUAUUUUAUGUGAAGGAAUUAUUUUGUGAAAACAUGUUCAUUUGAGCAACAUCAUAUAGCAUGCAAUUAACAAUUAAAGGCGGAAUCAUGCUUGUAUGCACUCAAAAACAAAACAUUACCAUGAAAUUCAAAGCCUAGUAGAUUGGUGAACCAAUAAUCAACUCAAAACAAAGUGAGUUGAAAUUAAUACCUUUGUAGAUUCCUCUUUGCAUAAGCAAAGGCUAAUCACCCAAAGAGAUAGAGCCUUCAUUCCUUGCUUCUUAGAUCCAUGGAUUUGGAUGGAAGAAAUAGGUUCUCCAAAGUUCCCAAAAAUUGAGAACUCUAAGUCUCUUCACCAACGUUAGAUUGUAGAAGAAAUGAGUGACCUUGGAGUAGUAGAUUGCUAGAUGUACCCUCCAAGGUGUUGGCCUCUUUAGAGAGAAAUGGAGAGACAAUUCUCAN
RNAcentral lists this long non-coding RNA (874 nucleotides) under Malus domestica (apple). RNAcentral's name for it is "long non-coding RNA (MDOM_LNC013426)". Lineage: Eukaryota; Viridiplantae; Streptophyta; Magnoliopsida; Rosales; Rosaceae. The record is from RNAcentral.